This 433-nucleotide ribosomal RNA is filed under the name Proteus mirabilis. RNAcentral describes it as "partial 23S ribosomal RNA". It matches the Rfam family "Bacterial large subunit ribosomal RNA", at positions 455 to 716 of the family's 2925-position model. The record is from RNAcentral. Lineage: Bacteria; Pseudomonadati; Pseudomonadota; Gammaproteobacteria; Enterobacterales; Morganellaceae.
AUCCUCCAAGGCUAAAUACUCCUGAUUGACCGAUAGUGAACCAGUACCGUGAGGGAAAGGCGAAAAGAACCCCGGCGAGGGGAGUGAAAAAGAACCUGAAACCGUGUACGUACAAGCAGUAGGAGCCCCAUCACUCAAGUGCCUCGCACUGAGUGAUGCAAUAACAUCACCGAAAAUAGCGCCGAAUUUGCUAACAAGGUUGGUCGAUUUUUUCAAGCCGUCGCGCAGUGUACCUAGAAGUACACGAGCAACGGAAGUUAAAAAAUCGGGCAAGAUUGAACGCAAAGGCAAGCGGGACAUUUGAGGAUGGGGUGACUGCGUACCUUUUGUAUAAUGGGUCAGCGACUUAUAUUCUGUAGCAAGGUUAACCGUAUAGGGGAGCCGUAGGGAAACCGAGUCUUAACUGGGCGAAUGAGUUGCAGGGUAUAGACCC